RNAcentral lists this non-coding RNA (20 nucleotides) under Arabidopsis thaliana (thale cress). RNAcentral also lists the same sequence under 1 other name. Lineage: Eukaryota; Viridiplantae; Streptophyta; Magnoliopsida; Brassicales; Brassicaceae. The record is from RNAcentral.
GAGGGAGCCUGAGAAACGGC